CCUACGGGGGGCAGCAGUGGGGAAUAUUGGACAAUGGGGGCAACCCUGAUCCAGCCAUGCCGCGUGUGUGAAGAAGGCCCUCGGGUUGUAAAGCACUUUCAGUGAGGAAGAACGCCUGGUGGUUAAUACCCAUCAGGAAAGACAUCACUCACAGAAGAAGCACCGGCUAACUCCGUGCCAGCAGCCGCGGUAAUACGGAGGGUGUGAGCGUUAAUCGGAAUUACUGGGCGUAAAGCGCGCGUAGGUGGCUUGAUAAGCCGGUUGUGAAAGCCCCGGGCUCAACCUGGGAACGGCAUCCGGAACUGUCAAGCUAGAGUGCAGGAGAGGAAGGUAGAAUUCCCGGUGUAGCGGUGAAAUGCGUAGAGAUCGGGAGGAAUACCAGUGGCGAAGGCGGCCUUCUGGACUGACACUGACACUGAGGUGCGAAAGCGUGGGUAGCAAACAGGAUUAGAUACCCUGGUAGUC
RNAcentral lists this ribosomal RNA (465 nucleotides) under Vreelandella stevensii. RNAcentral describes it as "partial 16S ribosomal RNA". It matches the Rfam family "Bacterial small subunit ribosomal RNA", at positions 338 to 795 of the family's 1533-position model. Lineage: Bacteria; Pseudomonadati; Pseudomonadota; Gammaproteobacteria; Oceanospirillales; Halomonadaceae. The record is from RNAcentral.